UCCCUGGUGGUCCAGUGGUUAGGGACUCUGCACUUACACUGCCAAGGGCCCAGGUUCAAUCCCUGGUUGGGGAA
Non-coding RNA from Balaenoptera musculus (blue whale), 74 nucleotides. The record is from the annotation of a RefSeq genome assembly. NCBI's taxonomy places the organism in Eukaryota, Metazoa, Chordata, Mammalia, Artiodactyla, Balaenopteridae.